This 428-nucleotide ribosomal RNA is filed under the name Gemmatimonadota bacterium. RNAcentral describes it as "Gemmatimonadetes bacterium partial 16S ribosomal RNA". It matches the Rfam family "Bacterial small subunit ribosomal RNA", at positions 355 to 776 of the family's 1533-position model. The record is from RNAcentral. Lineage: Bacteria; Pseudomonadati; Gemmatimonadota.
UAGGGAAUCUUCGGCAAUGGACGAAAGUCUGACCGAGCAACGCCGCGUGAGUGAAGAAGGUUUUCGGAUCGUAAACUCUGUUGUUAGAGAAGAACAAGGACGUUAGUAACUGAACGUCCCCUGACGGUAUCUAACCAGAAAGCCACGGCUAACUACGUGCCAGCAGCCGCGGUAAUACGUAGGUGGCAAGCGUUGUCCGGAUUUAUUGGGCGUAAAGCGAGCGCAGGCGGUUUCUUAAGUCUGAUGUGAAAGCCCCCGGCUCAACCGGGGAGGGUCAUUGGAAACUGGGAGACUUGAGUGCAGAAGAGGAGAGUGGAAUUCCAUGUGUAGCGGUGAAAUGCGUAGAUAUAUGGAGGAACACCAGUGGCGAAGGCGGCUCUCUGGUCUGUAACUGACGCUGAGGCUCGAAAGCGUGGGGAGCAAACAGG